Molecule: transfer RNA, 84 nt
Filed under: Bacteriophage sp.
Also listed under: 2 other names
Description: tRNA-Ser
Rfam family: tRNA
About the family: Transfer RNA (tRNA) molecules are approximately 80 nucleotides in length. Their secondary structure includes four short double-helical elements and three loops (D, anti-codon, and T loops). Further hydrogen bonds mediate the characteristic L-shaped molecular structure. tRNAs have two regions of fundamental functional importance: the anti-codon, which is responsible for specific mRNA codon recognition, and the 3' end, to which the tRNAs corresponding amino acid is attached (by aminoacyl-tRNA synthetases). tRNAs cope with the degeneracy of the genetic code in two manners: having more than one tRNA (with a specific anti-codon) for a particular amino acid; and 'wobble' base-pairing, i.e. permitting non-standard base-pairing at the 3rd anti-codon position.
Source: RNAcentral
GCCAACGUGCCCGAGCGGUAAAGGGAACGGUCUUGAAAAUCGUCUGUCAGAAAUGGCUUGUGGGUUCAAAUCCUACCGUUGGCG